CUAGCUGGUCUGAGAGGAUGACCAGCCACACUGGAACUGAGACACGGUCCAGACUCCUACGGGAGGCAGCAGUGGGGAAUAUUGCACAAUGGGCGCAAGCCUGAUGCAGCCAUGCCGCGUGUAUGAAGAAGGCCUUCGGGUUGUAAAGUACUUUCAGCGGGGAGGAAGGGAGUAAAGUUAAUACCUUUGCUCAUUGACGUUACCCGCAGAAGAAGCACCGGCUAACUCCGUGCCAGCAGCCGCGGUAAUACGGAGGGUGCAAGCGUUAAUCGGAAUUACUGGGCGUAAAGCGCACGCAGGCGGUUUGUUAAGUCAGAUGUGAAAUCCCCGGGCUCAACCUGGGAACUGCAUCUGAUACUGGCAAGCUUGAGUCUCGUAGAGGGGGGUAGAAUUCCAGGUGUAGCGGUGAAAUG
This 413-nucleotide ribosomal RNA is filed under the name Escherichia coli. RNAcentral describes it as "bacterial SSU rRNA". It matches the Rfam family "Bacterial small subunit ribosomal RNA", at positions 283 to 688 of the family's 1533-position model. Lineage: Bacteria; Pseudomonadati; Pseudomonadota; Gammaproteobacteria; Enterobacterales; Enterobacteriaceae. The record is from RNAcentral.